UGGCUGUUUCUUGCUGGCAAGUGAUGGUGAUCCAGUGGCUAGGGCACGGCGGGGCUAAGGCCGAUCAAGCCCUUUCGCUUCUCCCCUUCGAUCUGGGCAUUGGAGGGCAAGUUGGGUCAUCACCAGUGGGAGUGGAUCACGCGACACCAUUGGAGGUGAUCGAUUGAGGAUGGAGGAUGCUUCGGAUCAAUCUAGUGAUGGAUCUUCCUUGAGCAGGACUUCAUCUUCUCCAAUUCUUGCGGCUGGGUUCUGUGGAAGCUGUCGGAUGAGGAGGCAUUUUUGUAGAUUUUGGACAGUGGGAGUAGGGGCUGUGAGCUCUUG
Zingiber officinale is the source of this 321-nucleotide long non-coding RNA. RefSeq lists it as uncharacterized. NCBI's taxonomy places the organism in Eukaryota, Viridiplantae, Streptophyta, Magnoliopsida, Zingiberales, Zingiberaceae. The record is from RefSeq and is a predicted model, not a curated record. The transcript is spliced from 3 exons.